This 73-nucleotide transfer RNA is filed under the name bacterium. Its description in RNAcentral is "tRNA-Phe". It matches the Rfam family "tRNA". Rfam says of the family: Transfer RNA (tRNA) molecules are approximately 80 nucleotides in length. Their secondary structure includes four short double-helical elements and three loops (D, anti-codon, and T loops). The record is from RNAcentral. RNAcentral also lists the same sequence under 3 other names.
GGCUUGGUAGCUCAGUCGGUAGAGCAGAGGACUGAAAAUCCUUGUGUCGCUGGUUCGAUUCCGGUCCAAGCCA